UCCUCCUCGUCGCUUGGCGCUUCCAGAAAAACCCCCGAGGCGUCUCGUCUCGUCUCCGCCCGACACACCUUGAACCCUCGCGAGUCGCGACGACUGGAAAAGCAGGCAAGCGCAAUCCCACAGCUCGGCAGCUCCUCCUCACCGUCGCCGCCGAUUUAGAUGGAGAUGGAGGCGGCGGCGGCGGCGGCCUCCGACGAAACCCUAGCCGCCGUCUUCGCCCAGCUCAAGCCCCACACCGUCGCUCUCCUCGACCUCCUCCGCAGCCGCCGGGCCGCCUCCAGCUCCGCCUCCUCCCUCCGCGAAAUGGCCGCCUUCCUCCGCUCCGCCCCCGCCCCCGCACUGCAGCUCUGCUUCGACUAUACAGUGUUUCCACUGCUGAUGCUCCUGGAUGCGGCGGUGCAGUGCAGGAAGCAAGGCAAUGCACCGGGGCAGGGUGCUGGGGACAUUGGCAUCGCUGAUGCCGUCGCCGAAGCUGGGCUGGCCUGCCUUGAAGUGCUCCUAACCAAGUGCCGCCUCACCUCAGUCAAUCAGAUGGUUGCAAUGCUGAAAAAGUUGACUUCUGGGGCCAUGCUUUUGCCUUUGGAGGCUUCAGAGGAGUUCCGCAUUGGAAUCAUAAGAUGCUUCAGAGCCAUGGUUUUGCAGUUACAACCAUGCUUGGAGCGGUCCUGUUCUUGCAAGCAAGCAACAGUGUUGCCUACGUCCUCAACCAAUACAAGCUUGGAGGCCAGGAGUGUAGUUCACUCAAAGCUCCCUGCACAGCCAGAAGAGUGCCUGCUUGCAUUCCUUCAGUCACAAAAUGCUUCAGCUGCCGUUGGACACUGGCUCUCACUUCUUCUACAGGCAUCAGAACUUGAGGCAUCAAGAGGGCACCGUGGAAGUGCAGAUGUUAGAAAGGAAGCAUUACACGCUCUCCGUAUUCUUAUUGCCAAGGUAGGUUCUGCUGAUGCACUUGCCUUUUUCCUUCCUGGAAUUGUCAGUCGCCUCGGAAAGGUUCUCUACAGAUCGAAGACUAUGAUUAGCGGUGCUGCUGGGAGUUCUUUGAGCAUUGAACAAGCCAUUCUUGGAUUGACAGAGGCUUUGAUGAUAGUCCUAAAUGACAAGGAAAAUUUUAGUGCCCUUGAUAUGGCUAUAAAUGAGGAUUGGGCCCAUUCUUCUGGUGGUGAUGGUUCAACUGAGCAUGUAUUGCAGAUGCUUCGCCAAUUACCAACCAAAAGUCUAUCUGAACAGAUAGGUCAUGAUGAAACUACAGAUGACUCUACCUCCGAUGCCAAUAAUCCCUCUGCUGAUAGAAAGGCACUACAUGUAAAGCGGACCAAAAAAUGGCUUGAGGAAACAACUAGUAAUGUUGAUAAAUUGCUUUCUGCCACAUUCCCACAUCUUUCUAUUCAUUCAUCUGAGAAGGUGAGGAGGUCGGUGGUUAGUGGUGUGAGGGGGCUUUUGUCUAGCUGCGGCUCUACAUUAAAGCGAAGCAAGAUGCUACUUGUGGAAUGCUUAUGUGUUCUUGCAUGUGAUGAUGCCGCCGCUGUGUCUGAGGCUGCACAAGAUGCUCUCCUUUAUCUUUUCAACCAGGGUCACAAUUUUAUUACAGAAAAUGAGAUUUCUGAUAUUUUUACCAGGCUAGUUGAAAGGUUGCCACAAGUGGUACUUGGAAGUGAGGAGACAACUGCAUUGUCACAUGCUAAGAGGCUGUUGGCUCUGACAUUUUAUGCAGGACCUCAGUUUCUGAUAAAUCAUCUUCACCAUUCUCCUGUUAUCGCUACUCGUUUCUUUGAUUGUUUGGGUCUAUGCAUAAGUCAUAGUUCGCAGUUUUCUGGUUCAAUGGACAAGUUAAUCGUAUCAAAGCCACUGUCUGUUGGUUACCUCUAUUCAGUUGCUGAGUUGAAGGGUGGUGCCUAUUCUAAAGAUAUGACUAAUAGUUCUCUGCAGGCCACGUAUACGCCGGCAGCCUCCAAAAUAUCUGUUAUCCAUGAUAACGGUUUGUCGAAUGCAAUACUUGGUACUGUUGAAUAUGAGUUGCCCCAUGUGCCUCCAUGGUUUGUGCAUGCUGGCAGUCAGAAACUUUACUUGGUUCUUGCUGGAAUAAUUAGACUUGUUGGCCUAUCAACAGUGUCAGGGAAAGAAACUGCUGCAUCCUUAUCUCCUUUUGUUGAUAUUCUACUCGAUCACUUCAGGAGGUUGAGCACUGUGGUGCGAUCCAAAAAUAUUUACAGAGAUGGCCAUAGGUGGUACAUGAAUGGUGAAGCUGGACAUACACUACGCCAGGCAAGUUCAGCUGUUUGCAUGCUCAAUGAGCUCAUAUAUGGUUUGUCAGAUAGAUCUCUUGGUAUGUUUUUGCAACUGUUCCAGAAGAGAUCAGCACAGAUGGUAAGGACAGCUUGUCAGAAUGAUCAAUUGAUCGCUUCUGUUAAACAUAAUGGAGUUACUAAUGAAAGAGAAGUCUGGGGAUGUAAUGAACAAAAGGGUACUAAAGACAAUAUUAUUCAUUGUAUCGGCAGUAUUCUGCAUGAAUAUAUAUGUCCAGAAGUGUGGGAUCUUCCAACAGAAAAGGAUGUUGAGCUAUGCCUAACAGAGUUGAACCUGCCAUUGCACUUCUACCGUGAUACCACUGCUUUGCACACGGUGACGCUUGAAGGAAUUGGAGUCUUGGGUGCUGUUCUUGGUCAAGAUUUCGCACGUAGUGGGUUUAUGCACUCUUCCCUUUAUCUUCUGCUCCGUGAACUUAUCAGCUCAAGUGCUCAGAUAAGAAUUGCAUCAGAUGCUGUCUUAAGAGCGCUUGCUGCUGCUGGCGGUCAUUGUUCGGUUGGCCAAUUUGUUGUCGCGAAUGCAGAUUACAUUGUUGACUCUCUUUGUAGACAGCUACGUCACUUGGACAUGAAUCCCCAUGUCCCUGAUGUUCUUGCUUCCAUGCUGUGUUACAUUGGUGCUUCUCAUGAUAUUUUACCAUUCUUGGAAGAACCGAUGCGAGCAGUUUCUUCUGAGCUGGAGGUACUUGGCAGGCAUGACCACCCACAUCUAACUGUUCCAUUUCUGAAGGCGGUUUCUGAGAUUGCCAAGGCAUGCAAACAUGAAUCUACUAGUUUGCCAGAUGACGCCCAAUCAUUUUAUUUGAAGGUCAGUUCAGAAGGCCAAGAAGUCAAAAAUAUGAUCGAGAAGAGAAUGGAAUCCAGUGCAACAUCUGAAAGAAUGAAUGCUGAUGCUCAACUUGAUUUUAUGAGCUUGGAAUAUUGGGAGGACUUACUUUGUAAGUUAAAUGAGAUGAGAAGAUAUAGGAGAAUAGUUGGAUCACUUACAGGUUCUUGCUUAUCAGCUGCCACCCCACUUCUCUCUUCAACUAAGGAAACAGCUUGUCUUGUGGCCCUUGAUGUUGUGGAGAAUGCUAUUAUAUCUAUCACCAAGGUUGAGGAGGCUUACAAGUGUGAAAAUCAAAGUAAAGGAAUUAUUGAGGAGUCCAUCCAGUUUCUGUCAUUUGAUGAACUUCUUGAUGGUACAGAUGCCAGCGAAGAUGCUGAUGAGAAUCGAUUGCUCCCAGCUAUGAACAAACUAUGGCCUUACUUGAUUAUCUGUCUAAGGAACAAGAUAUCAGUGCCGGUUGUUAGAAAGUGCACUGAAGUAUUGAGUAGAGCAAUUAGUAUGUCUGGUGGUGAUUUUUAUGUACGCCGCUUUCAUAAGGAUGGACAUAUUGUUUGGAGGUUGCUGGCAUUAUCUCCAUUCCGACGAAAAAGAAUGUCAAUGAUGGAUGAAAAAGCAAUCAUUUUACCAUAUAGGGAUACCUCACUUACCUCAGAGGAACCCAUGGCUGAGAUCUCCAGUCAAAAAAUUCAGAUUGCGGUCCUGGACAUGAUCGCCACAAUAUCUUCCAGCAAAAGAAGUGCUAUUGCAUUAGAAAGUGUACUAAAGAAGGUUUGUGGCCUUGUGGUUGGUAUCGCCUACAGUAGUUUGACAGGUUUGCAAGAAGCUGCUAUAAGGGCAUUGGCAGGCCUUGCCUGUAUGGAUGCUGACCUUGUCUGGCUUCUCUUGGCGGAUGUUUAUUACUCACUAAACCAAAGGGAUAUACCUUUACCGCCCAACCAAGAUGUGGCAGAGAUAUCAGAUCUUUUGCCCCCACCAAUGUCUGCGAGAGAAUACCUCUUUGUACAGUACGGAGGCGAUGGUGUGAGAUGUGAUGUAGACCCGUCAUCUGUUCACGAGGUGUUCAAAAGGAUGCAGGAUGUGGUCCUAACAUGAAAAUCAGGUUGAUCUCCCUGUAUAAAAACCUUGCCGAUGGGAUUUUGUGUCACUGCUGGCUAGCCCGCCAGUGUCACAUAUUUUGCCUGUACUGGAAAAUGGAACAAUGAUGAAGGAUGAGCUGGAGUUGCCAGGGAACAUCUUUGUGGUGUCGCAAUUGGAUAUGUCAUUGGCAUUAUGCUUUGUUGCUAGAAUCAGUGAAGAGUGCGAUCUGUUUCUAUCAAGCAAUUGCACUUGGCAUGUGUGACUGUAUGCCAUGGACAUUGUUCUCCAUGAUGUUGUGAGCAAGGAGCAGCAACCGCUUGGAGGGGUCAUCAAGCAAAUUACAACACAAGCAAAGUACAGGAUGGUUUUCUGAUGGGGUGCAUGUGUAAUUAUAUCGAGCAAACGUGUAUCACAUGGUGGAGUUUAGUCGUGUGAAAAGAAAGGUAGAUGAUGUAUAAACCAUCUCUGAGUUGAUUGCUCCCUUUUCUGAAGCGUUUUUUUAUUCUGGGUCUGGGAUAUUCAUGUCUAAUGCCCGUCAAAAUUCGUUGGUAAACAUCUUGCUAGCCCUUUCUAAUCUGUAAAACAAAAGGUGAACACCUCGCUUCAGUCCCGUAUAGAUCACGGAUAUUCCUUUUGUUGACA
Setaria italica (foxtail millet) is the source of this 4851-nucleotide RNA transcript. RefSeq lists it as uncharacterized. The record is from RefSeq and is a predicted model, not a curated record. NCBI's taxonomy places the organism in Eukaryota, Viridiplantae, Streptophyta, Magnoliopsida, Poales, Poaceae. The transcript is spliced from 19 exons.